This 72-nucleotide transfer RNA is filed under the name Bacillota bacterium. RNAcentral's name for it is "tRNA-Val". It matches the Rfam family "tRNA". Rfam says of the family: Transfer RNA (tRNA) molecules are approximately 80 nucleotides in length. The record is from RNAcentral. Lineage: Bacteria; Bacillati; Bacillota.
GGUCCUGUAGUCCAAUGGCUAAGACAUGUCCUUGACUUGGACAAAACCGCGGUUCGAUCCCGCGCAGGACCA